This 2349-nucleotide long non-coding RNA is filed under the name Corvus moneduloides (New Caledonian crow). Its description in RNAcentral is "lncRNA (ENSCMUG00000019605.1)". Lineage: Eukaryota; Metazoa; Chordata; Aves; Passeriformes; Corvidae. The record is from RNAcentral.
GGGACACCGGGGGACAUUGGGGGGCUGGCACAGUGUCACCGUCACCCGCUGAGUGCCGGGGGGACAUCGGGGGGCACUGGGGGCAUUGGGGGGCUGGCACAGUGUCACCGUCACCCGCUGAGUGCCUGGGGACACCGGGGGCACCAGGGAGCCCAAAGGGUUCCCCAGAUCCCAGAGGGUUCCAUGGAUCCCGAAGGGUUCUGUGGACCCCAAAGGGAUCCAGGGAGCUCAAUGGGAUCUGUGGAUCCCAAAGGUUCCGUGGAUCCCAGAGGGUUCUGGACAUCCCAGAGGGUUCUAGAUGACCCAAAGGGUUCUGGACACCCCAAAGGGAUCCACAGAGCUCAAUGGGAUCCGUGGAUCCCAAAGGUUCCGUGGAUCCCAGAGGGUUCUGGACACCCCGAAGGGAUCCACGGAGCUCAACGGGUUCCAUGGACCCCAAAGGGUUCUGUGGGAUCUGGGUUCUGUUGGACCCCAAAAGGUUCCGUGGAGCUCAGUGGGAUCCGUGGUCCCCGAUGGGUUCUGGGGACCCCAAAGGGUUUGAGGGCCCCUGAAGGGUUCCAGGGACCCCCCGCGUCCUGUGGACCCCAAAGGCUUCUCCAGAGCCCCAGGUUCUGCUCAGCCCCAAAGUGUUCCAGAGACCCCAAAAGGAUUUUAUGGACCCCAAAAGGAUUUUAUGGACCCCAAAGUGUUCCAGAGACCCCAAAAGGAUUUUAUGGAUCCCCCAAAGUGUUCCAGAGACCCCAAAAGGAUUUUAUGGACCCCAAAAGGAUUUUAUGGAUCCCCCAAAGUGUUCCAGAGACCCCAAAAGGAUUUUAUGGGCCCCAAAAGGAUUUUAUGGACCCCAAAGUGUUCCAGAGACCCCAAAAGAAUUUUAUGGACCUCAAAAGGAUUUUAUGGAUCCCCCAAAGUGUUCCAGAGACCCCAAAAGGAUUUUAUGGAUCCCCCAAAGUGUUCCAGAGACCCCAAAAGAAUUUUAUGGACCCCAAAGUGUUCAACAGACCCCAAAAGAAUUUUAUGGACCCCAAAAGGAUUUUAUGGACCCCAAAGUGUUCCACAGACCCCAAAAGGAUUUUAUGGACCCCAAAAGGAUUUUAUGGAUCCCCCAAAGUGUUCCAGAGACCCCAAAAGAAUUUUAUGGACCCCAAAAGGAUUUUAUGGAUCCCCCAAAGUGUUCCAGAGACCCCAAAAGGAUUUUAUGGACCCCAAAAGGAUUUUAUGGACCCCAAAGUGUUCCAGAGACCCCAAAAGAAUUUUAUGGGCCCCAAAGUGUUCCAGAGACCCCAAAAGGAUUUUAUGGAUCCCCCAAAGUGUUCCAGAGACCCCAAAAGGAUUUUAUGGACCCCAAAAGGAUUUUAUGGAUCCCCCAAAGUGUUCCAGAGACCCCAAAAGGAUUUUAUGGGCCCCAAAAGGAUUUUAUGGACCCCAAAGUGUUCCAGAGACCCCAAAAGAAUUUUAUGGACCUCAAAAGGAUUUUAUGGAUCCCCCAAAGUGUUCCAGAGACCCCAAAAGGAUUUUAUGGAUCCCCCAAAGUGUUCCAGAGACCCCAAAAGGAUUUUGUGGACCCCAAAGUGUUCCAGAGACCCCAAAAGAAUUUUAUGGACCCCAAAAGGAUUUUAUGGAUCCCCCAAAGUGUUCCAGAGACCCCAAAAGGAUUUUAUGGACCCCAAAAGGAUUUUAUGGACCCCAAAGUGUUCCAGAGACCCCAAAAGAAUUUUAUGGACCCCAAAAGGAUUUUAUGGAUCCCCCAAAGUGUUCCAGAGACCCCAAAAGGAUUUUAUGGAUCCCCCAAAGUGUUCCAGAGACCCCAAAAGAAUUUUAUGGACCCCAAAGUGUUCAACAGACCCCAAAAGGAUUUUAUGGAUCCCCCAAAAGGAUUUUAUGGAUCCCCCAAAAGGAUUUUAUGGACUCCAAAGGAUUUUAUGGACUCCAAAGGAUUUUGUGGACCCCAAAAGGAUUUUAUGGACUCCAAAGGAUUUUAAGGACCCCAAAAAGGAUUUUAAGGACCCCAAAAAGUUCUCCGGCCCCGAUGGAUUCUAUGGCCCCAAAGGGUUCGACAACCCCACAGCUCGAAGGUCACCGGGGUUUUAUGGCCCUGGGGUUUUAUGGCCCCGAGGUUUUAUGGCCCCCGGGGUUUUAUGGCCCCCGAGGUUUUAUGGCCCCGGGAUUUACACCCCGAUGCGUGAAAGUGCCUCCAUAAAGAUUUGGGAACUUUUAUGGCCUCGGUGCCUUCCUGGGACAGCGAGGGCGGGGUGGGAGCGGGGCGGGGGGAGAGAAAUGGGGGCGGUUCUGGGACCCCCAGGGACCCCCCUGAUCCUAUGGGACCCCCCUGAUCCUAUGGGACCCCCAGGG